This 468-nucleotide long non-coding RNA is filed under the name Corvus moneduloides (New Caledonian crow). RNAcentral's name for it is "lncRNA (ENSCMUG00000018422.1)". The record is from RNAcentral. Lineage: Eukaryota; Metazoa; Chordata; Aves; Passeriformes; Corvidae.
GGGAGGGGCGGGGGCGCCGGGCCCUUCCGCGCCGCUCCCAUCGCCGGGAGUUGUGGUCCCGCCGCCGUUUUGUCCGCUCCGUGCAGCCUGGCAGGGACUCGGUGUCCCGGCGCGCCGCGGGCUGUGGGCGGAGAGGCGGAGGCAGAGGCGGGCAAGGCGGGCGGCUGCUGUGGAAGUUGUUGGGGCCGCGCGGUGUCGGGGCUGUGGGAAGACGCACAGAGCCUGUUUGGGCGACAGCAGAAUGGAGGAGCCCACUGGGGACCUUCCCAUCCGGGCAGACGUCAUCCUUGCCGAGUCGUGCUGUGAUCAUGUCACCCUGACAAACCUGGUGGAAGUGCUGAGAUCUUUGGUGUCUUUAACUGACCCUCAGGAGGGGAAGCUGACUCAGUCUCAAGAGAAAGCACUAAACUCGCUGGGCAUUUGGAAAACUGUAUUUAGAAUUGUUCCUGGGCCUACAUCAAAGACCUC